Molecule: ribosomal RNA, 497 nt
Filed under: uncultured bacterium
Lineage: Bacteria
Description: partial 16S ribosomal RNA
Rfam family: Bacterial small subunit ribosomal RNA
Source: RNAcentral
GAUGAAUGCUGGCGGCGUGCCUAAUACAUGCAAGUCGAGCGAACAGACGAGGAGCUUGCUCCUCUGACGUUAGCGGCGGACGGGUGAGUAACACGUGGAUAACCUACCUAUAAGACUGGGAUAACUUCGGGAAACCGGAGCUAAUACCGGAUAAUAUAUUGAACUGCAUGGUUCAAUAGUGAAAGACGGUUUUGCUGUCACUUAUAGAUGGAUCCGCGCCGCAUUAGCUAGUUGGUAAGGUAACGGCUUACCAAGGCAACGAUGCGUAGCCGACCUGAGAGGGUAAUCGGCCACACUGGAACUGAGACACGGUCCAGACUCCUACGGGAGGCAGCAGUAGGGAAUCUUCCGCAAUGGGCGAAAGCCUGACGGAGCAACGCCGCGUGAGUGAUGAAGGUCUUCGGAUCGUAAAACUCUGUUAUUAGGGAAGAACAAAUGUGUAAGUAACUAUGCACGUCUUGACGGUACCUAAUCAGAAAGCCACGGCUAACUACGUG